Molecule: long non-coding RNA, 468 nt
Organism: Mercurialis annua (annual mercury)
Lineage: Eukaryota; Viridiplantae; Streptophyta; Magnoliopsida; Malpighiales; Euphorbiaceae
Exons: 3
Source: RefSeq, a predicted model, not a curated record
AUGAUUUAAGAUGAGAAACCCCUCAUUUUCAGCAAUCAAAAACGUGAUGAUCAUCUUCUUCAUGAAAGGAAAAUUUCGAAUCCCAUAACUUUUUCGUUUCUCGUCGGAAUUGAGCGAUUCUUGUGGCCACGGAACAAGAAAAUGAUUAUCUACAGAUCUAUAGCUUCAAUUUGAGGAGCUAUGAUUAUGGAAUUUUGAUGGUUGUUCAUGGAGGAAUUCAUUCAGCCAAAGGGUUAUACCAUCAAACAAAGGAAUAGCAUGAUAUGAUUUGGAAAGUCAAGCUUCCGAAGUUUUAAAUUCUCGGAAGUCAUUUUCAGAAGAAGUUAAAGAAGGUUUUCAUUCUAGCGGUCCGCAGUAGUCUAGAUGUUUUUGUCUAUGUAUUUAUCUAGCGCAUUUUAACUCUGAUAUUUUUGUAAAAUGGGGUCACAUGUAUUUUGAUAUAUGAAAGAUGAUUUGAUUUGCGAAAAA